CCUCUUGUUUAAGUUUCUGCCUGUAGGCAGGGAUCAACAAAAUGGAGUGGUGGUAGAAGCCUCCUGGGAUUAUAAUCUUGGGGAGAGUGGGGGAGAGAGCGGCCAUAAACGACCAAAUUGAAAAAGGUCUGGAAGUCUUGAUUAUCCAUUAAGGUGAACUACAGGUGAAGUCACUCAAUCCAGUCCCAGAGGCUUGUUGGGGGGACCAUACCAAGGACUCCUGGUGACGGCUAGCUGAAAGAGCUACCCGGAUUCAUAUCGCACGGCGGGAAGACACCCUGACCCUGUCGAAAAAUAAACAGUGUUCGAGAGGAGAACUGGAAUUAACAGAAUUCCGGGGGCCAUCUUUCGAAUGAAGAAAAUCCUUCCUGUUUUUUCAUCCCUGUUUUUGUUCAUAGAAGUGAAGGUGUGUCUGGCUCUUGCUAAGUGAUGUGUUCUCGGGGAGAGGGUGGGGCUUCACAUGGAAGCUGUUCGUCUGAGCUGUCUUAUCGUGGGUGACAUAUUCCUGAUACAGCACGUCCUACUUGAGUAUGCGGAGAGUGGUAAUUUGACCCAUGGUUUAGACGAUGAGGAUUUUGUUCCAAAAUAAGCAUAAGAUCCCUAGAUCUGGGUAGACAGGAAGUUAGAGUAGAGGUUGGGAAGGAUCUCUCAAUGGCGUUUUAUGUAGACCAAAAUGGGGUCUCUAACUACAUGGCAGUCUAGGACUCUGAGCCAUUAUGGCAUAUAUCGGUGCAGGUUCCCAUAUUGAUCGUGGACACAGGUCAUAGCUCAUUUGGAGAGAGAGGGCUAUAUGAAUCCACUCACCCAGUAUGGAAGAAGGUAGAGUAUAGUGAAGGUGAGAGUUUUUGAUUGUAAUCAGGAGAGAGGGAUGUAAUUGCAUAAAGAUACGCCUAACCCUUUAAACAGAAAUGAAGGAGGAUCUAGGGUUGUGGUAUGGAUAUGACCAGGUCUUGGUCGACACCCUAGUACGGUUCUGGGUAGAGGAGUUUAGGCCGGUAUGGUAAAGCUGUUCACGAAAGCAGGAAUGCCAGAUAAUGACAGUUGUAUUGAUUUGCACUAUUUAUAUCCCCAGGUUCCCCUUAAAUCAAGACUUCCUCCCUUUACAGUGACCGGAGGAGAUUAUUACCGUUUGGCCCGGUACAGUACUCUUGGGAAAUGAUGUCAGGGCGAGGUUUUACCGACAGAUUGGACAGGAUUAUGCUCCAUUGUACAUUUGAGAAUGCAUUUCACACUCAUUCAACACCAAGACAUGAAGUAUAGCCAGAUGGGAGAAAAGAGCUACUCCAUCCGGGUCUCUUAUUGACAAAGUAUACAUUGAUAACAUUGGGGUUCCACGGACGAGGACUGGAUUAAUUAUAUUUAUUAUAAUCAACAGCGCUUUAACAAUUAUACCAGAGAUGCUAUUAAAGGUUUUGCAGAACAGACUGAAGCAACCAGCCGGAUGGCUUGGCAGAAUAUAAUUGCAUUAGAUAUGUUAAUGGCUGAAAAGGGAGAAGUAUGCGUGAUUAUCGGGACCAUGUUUGUGCUUACAUCCCAAAUAACACAGCUCCGGACGAAUCAGUGCCCGAAGCCUCAGCUGGUUUGACCACCCUGGCUCACGGUUUGGCAGAAAACUCUGGGGUGGAUACUUCUCUGACUAAUUGGGUUUGAUAGUAUGUUCAGAAAAUGGGAAAAAAUAUUAUGAUCACUGUAUUAUGGGCUACAUUCACCUGUGUGACUGUUUAGUUUUAUGGGGCUGUUGUCUAAUUCCCUGUGUAUGAGGCCUUAUUUCCAGGACUCUGGAGAAAUCUAUGACAAUAGAUGGUGAGGUACCAGGGGAUUCCAGGUUCAGACCCGCGGAGUGCUGAUUGUAUGUCUACAGGACAAGUGGACGAAUCUGGAUCCUUCAGUUGCUGGGAAUUUAUGUUUGAAGAGACCAUUUUUGAUGUUUAGGGAGGCUAGGUUGCAUCCCAUCUCAAUAUUAGACAGUUUUUUUAUGAAGAUUGUAACGAAAAUCCUGAUAAGAAGAGUUAUGAUUCUGAUGUAGGCCUGAGAAACAGUUAUGGCGAAUGCAAGUAUGGGGUUAUGUUUAGGUGAUGUUUUGAUGACAAGAAAUAUCUCUAAUAAAAAUAGAAAUAGGCUUUUUAAUAAUACAAUAUAACUUGUGAUUGAAUGUAUAAUAUUUAAUCAAAGGGUGGAUAUGUUAAGGGAAUUUUUAUCAAUGAUGACUAAUUAUGUAUACAUUUCAAUCAGGACUGAAUAAUCUGAAUACUGUUAUGUCACUGUACAUGUAUGAAUUUUCUCUCUUGCUCCCAGUAUUGAAUAUAAUGUAGUCAAGAGUUUAGAACAACGAUGGCCUGUUCCUUGGUACAAAUAAAUGAACUGUCUCCAGACCGUCUAGAAUGCUUAUCUACACUGACUGACCUUGGCUCUAGGCGAGGAGGGAAGGCUUGAGAUCUAUAGAGCCUUUCUACCAGUGUCAAGAAGAGACGGAACAUUUAGAAAACGCUGACGUCAUUUUCAGUUUAUAACCUGUGGUAAAAUGUGUAUGACUCAGUACUCUCUUGAAUUAAAGGCUGUUACUUGACUUUUAA
Oncorhynchus nerka (sockeye salmon) is the source of this 2573-nucleotide long non-coding RNA. RefSeq lists it as uncharacterized. The transcript has 2 exons. The record is from RefSeq and is a predicted model, not a curated record. Lineage: Eukaryota; Metazoa; Chordata; Actinopteri; Salmoniformes; Salmonidae.